This 685-nucleotide long non-coding RNA is filed under the name Numida meleagris (helmeted guineafowl). RNAcentral describes it as "lncRNA (ENSNMEG00000019617.1)". The record is from RNAcentral. Lineage: Eukaryota; Metazoa; Chordata; Aves; Galliformes; Numididae.
CAAAUAAAGGGUAGGCUGGGGGGCUGUGGGUCUUGGUUGUAGGAUCUGUUUAUCAACACUCCAAACUGAGACCGUGAGGUCUCCUCAGGAUGGUGACCCUGUCUGAGGGAAGCUGAUGAAGCCCUACAGGAGGGAGAUCUGAGUCAUGAGAGCCUUCUCAUGGAAACUUACUUCCUGGCCUCCUUUUUGCUGCACACUGAGAACAGAAGAUGAACUAGGACGUGGUGGAGGGAAACUGCAAUGGAAGCUUGAAAAGGAAAAGCUUUCUGCAUCCAGCAGCUGGGAAUGGAGGAAUCCUGGAACUUUAUGCUGCAGAAGCUCAGAGACAACAAUAAAGGUUCUCCCCCCUCCCCCCCUCCAAAGAGCAAGUAUAUAUAUAUAAAGUAGUUAUCUCUUCAAACAAACACGUGGGGGAUGGGAGGGUCAAAAUCCCAGGAGGCAAGUGCUGAAUUGGCUGAAGCUCCAGCAAGAAGAAGGAGACGCCUGGGUAUGCAGACCUGGCUGUACCACCAGCUUGGUAAGCUGGAAGCAGUGGGAAGAAGCCUAACCAGGUGGUGUUCACACAGGUGUGGUUUGUGACUUGGCCUUGUUUGCAUUGCUCUCUGAAACACUACAUGACAUGGCAUGGACCUGAAUGCAGCACAUAGGGUCAUUGCUCCCCAUAGGACUGGCCAUAGACACCAGC